RNAcentral lists this ribosomal RNA (1412 nucleotides) under uncultured bacterium. RNAcentral's name for it is "bacterial SSU rRNA". It matches the Rfam family "Bacterial small subunit ribosomal RNA". The record is from RNAcentral.
UUUGAUCCUGGCUCAGGACGAACGCUGGCGGCGUGCCUAAUACAUGCAAGUCGAGCGAAGUUUUUCUGGUGCUUGCACUAGAAAAACUUAGCGGCGAACGGGUGAGUAACACGUAAAGAACCUGCCUCAUAGACUGGGACAACUAUUGGAAACGAUAGCUAAUACCGGAUAACAUCAUUAACUGCAUGGUUGAUGUUUGAAAGUUUGGUUUUGCUAACACUAUGAGAUGGCUUUGCGGUGCAUUAGCUAGUUGGUGGGGUAAAGGCCUACCAAGGCGACGAUGCAUAGCCGACCUGAGAGGGUGAUCGGCCACACUGGGACUGAGACACGGCCCAGACUCCUACGGGAGGCAGCAGUAGGGAAUCUUCCGCAAUGGGCGAAAGCCUGACGGAGCAACGCCGCGUGAGUGAAGAAGGAUUUCGGUUCGUAAAGCUCUGUUGUUAGGGAAGAAUGAUUAUGUAGUAACUAUACAUAGUAGAGACGGUACCUAACCAGAAAGCCACGGCUAACUACGUGCCAGCAGCCGCGGUAAUACGUAGGUGGCAAGCGUUGUCCGGAAUUAUUGGGCGUAAAGCGCGCGCAGGUGGUUUAAUAAGUCUGAUGUGAAAGCCCACGGCUCAACCGUGGAGGGUCAUUGGAAACUGUUAAACUUGAGUGCAGGAGAGAAAAGUGGAAUUCCUAGUGUAGCGGUGAAAUGCGUAGAGAUUAGGAGGAACACCAGUGGCGAAGGCGGCUUUUUGGCCUGUAACUGACACUGAGGCGCGAAAGCGUGGGGAGCAAAACAGGAUUAGAUACCCUGGUAGUCCACGCCGUAAACGAUGAGUGCUAAGUGUUGGUCUCAUAAGAGAAUCAGUGCUGCAGCUAACGCAUUAAGCACUCCGCCUGGGGAGUACGACCGCAAGGUUGAAAACUCAAAGGAAUUGACGGGGACCCGCACAAGCGGUAGAGCAUGUGGUUUAAUUCGAAGCAACGCGAAGAACCUUACCAAGUCUUGACAUACUGUGAGGACACAAGAGAUUGUGUUGUUCUGACCUUUGGUUAGACACAGAUACAGGUGGUGCAUGGUUGUCGUCAGCUCGUGUCGUGAGAUGUUGGGUUAAGUCCCGCAACGAGCGCAACCCUUAUAUCUAGUUGCCAGCAGUAAGAUGGGGACUCUAGAUAGACUGCCAGUGAUAAACUGGAGGAAGGUGGGGAUGACGUCAAAUCAUCAUGCCCCUUAUGACUUGGGCUACACACGUGCUACAAUGGAUAGGAACAAAAGAGAAGCGAGCUCGCGAGAGUAAGCAACCCUCCAAAAACUAUUCUCAGUUCGGAUGGUAGUCUGCGAACUGGACUACAGAAAGCGGGAAUCGCUAGUAAUCGGGAAUCAAAAGGUGGGGGGGAAUAGGUUCCCGGUUCUGGCCCCCCCCGCC